UACGUAGGGAGCGAGCGUUGUCCGGAUUCAUUGGGCGUAAAGAGCUCGUAGGCGGCUUGGUAAGUCGGAUGUGAAACCUCCAGGCUCAACCUGGAGUCGCCAUCCGAUACUGCCAUGGCUAGAGUCCGGUAGGGGCCCACGGAAUUCCUGGUGUAGCGGUGAAAUGCGCAGAUAUCAGGAGGAACACCGAUGGCGAAGGCAGCUCGCUGGGACGGUACUGACGCUGAGACGCGAAAGCGUGGGGAGCGAACAGG
Molecule: ribosomal RNA, 254 nt
Filed under: uncultured bacterium
Lineage: Bacteria
Description: partial 16S ribosomal RNA
Rfam family: Bacterial small subunit ribosomal RNA
Source: RNAcentral